RNAcentral lists this ribosomal RNA (1285 nucleotides) under Klenkia soli. Its description in RNAcentral is "bacterial LSU rRNA". It matches the Rfam family "Bacterial large subunit ribosomal RNA", at positions 1 to 1223 of the family's 2925-position model. Lineage: Bacteria; Bacillati; Actinomycetota; Actinomycetes; Geodermatophilales; Geodermatophilaceae. The record is from RNAcentral.
UGUUCAAGUUGUUAAGGGCGCACGGUGGAUGCCUUGGCACCAGGAGCCGAUGAAGGACGUAGGAGGCUGCGAUAAGCCUCGGGGAGCUGUCAACCGAGCGUUGAUCCGAGGAUUUCCGAAUGGGGGAACCCCGCACCAGUCAUGUGGUGUGACCCGCGCCUGAAUAUAUAGGGCGUGUGGAGGGAACGUGGGGAAGUGAAACAUCUCAGUACCCACAGGAAGAGAAAACAACAGUGAUUCCGUGAGUAGUGGCGAGCGAAAGCGGAUGAGGCUAAACCAUGUGCAUGUGAUAGCCGGCAGGCGUUGUGCAUGUGGGGUCGUGGGACGCAUCUUGUUGCUACUGCCGUAGUGGCCGGGAGUCAAAAAUAGUGUGUUGUUAGUGGAAGGCCUCUGGAAGGGGUCGCCAUAGAGGGUGAGAGCCCCGUACACGAAAACGCGCACUCUCUCGUGAUGAUGUUCCCAAGUAGCACCGAGCUCGUGGAAUUCGGUGUGAAUCUGGCGGGACCACCCGCUAAGCCUAAAUACUCCCUGGUGACCGAUAGCGGACAAGUACCGUGAGGGAAAGGUGAAAAGUACCCCGGGAGGGGAGUGAAAUAGUACCUGAAACCGUGUGCCUACAAGCCGUGAGAGCCUUAGGUCCUUCGGGUCCGGGGUGAUUGCGUGCCUUUUGAAGAAUGAGCCUGCGAGUUAGCGGUACGUGGCGAGGUUAACCCGUGUGGGGUAGCCGUAGCGAAAGCGAGUCCGAAUAGGGCGUUCCAGUCGCGUGCUCUAGACCCGAAGCCGAGUGAUCUACCCAUGGCCAGGUUGAAGCGCGGGUAAGACCGCGUGGAGGACCGAACCCACUUCGGUUGAAAACGGAGGGGAUGAGCUGUGGGUAGGGGUGAAAGGCCAAUCAAACUCGGUGAUAGCUGGUUCUCCCCGAAAUGCAUUUAGGUGCAGCGUCACGUGUUUCUUGCCGGAGGUAGAGCACUGGAUGGUCUAGGGGCCCCACAAGGUUACUGAAAUCAACCAAACUCCGAAUGCCGGUAAGUGAGAGCGUGGCAGUGAGACUGCGGGCGAUAAGGUUCGUAGUCGAGAGGGAAACAGCCCAGAUCAUCAGCUAAGGCCCCUAAGCGUGUGCUAAGUGGAAAAGGAUGUGGAGUCGCAGUGACAACCAGGAGGUUGGCUUAGAAGCAGCCACCCUUGAAAGAGUGCGUAAUAGCUCACUGGUCAAGUGAUUCCGCGCCGACAAUGUAGCGGGGCUCAAGCACACCGCCGAAGCUAUGGCAUUCACGCAAUAGCCUGC